GGCCCGGUAGCUCAGGGCUACAGCGUCGUGCUAAUAACGCGAAUGUCGUGGGUUCGGUCCCCAUCCGAGCCA
Clonorchis sinensis is the source of this 72-nucleotide transfer RNA. It matches the Rfam family "tRNA". Rfam says of the family: Transfer RNA (tRNA) molecules are approximately 80 nucleotides in length. Their secondary structure includes four short double-helical elements and three loops (D, anti-codon, and T loops). NCBI's taxonomy places the organism in Eukaryota, Metazoa, Platyhelminthes, Trematoda, Opisthorchiida, Opisthorchiidae. The record is from Rfam.